CCCUUUUAAAUGACCACCAGAAGGUAUGGAUACCUUUGUAAAUUGGAACUAGGUUUGCUGUUUUAAAGUAGCACUUUAUUUUGAUCAUUUUGAUGUAGUUGUAUGUAAAACUAAAGCAAUUCACUAUUUUGAUUAAUUGUGAGAAUUGGGAAAUGUAUAUUCAAUUUAUGGUUUGUGGUGAAAUAUUAAUAUACUCUUGCACAUAGGAACAUACUGUUGGACAUGCUGAAUGUUCAAAUUAGAUACCAUGUGUUUGGUGGACUGCCUUAAAUUAGGAGCUCAUUUACUUCCAUAUGAUGCAUGUUUUCAAAUGCACUAUCUAUGAGUUGAAACCUGGUCUUACAAGUCCCAUUAAGGAAUUUAGAGCUUUCUCUGUCUAAUUGUGCCAUUUAAAACUGUUAUGUGAUGUAUGGUCAUGAAAAUUGAUUGUUGAGUUGCAUUUUCACUUGUGUUUCAUUUUUCUUAUUUUUAAUAUGUGAAGCAAGCUAGA
This 490-nucleotide unclassified non-coding RNA is filed under the name Hevea brasiliensis (rubber tree). The record is from RNAcentral. Lineage: Eukaryota; Viridiplantae; Streptophyta; Magnoliopsida; Malpighiales; Euphorbiaceae.